Lethenteron reissneri (Far Eastern brook lamprey) is the source of this 1339-nucleotide RNA transcript. It is a transcript of the gene named WAS/WASL-interacting protein family member 1-like, with no coding region annotated. The record is from RefSeq and is a predicted model, not a curated record. NCBI's taxonomy places the organism in Eukaryota, Metazoa, Chordata, Hyperoartia, Petromyzontiformes, Petromyzontidae.
GGAACUGAAGCUGCUGCUUGCGGGGCAACACAAACACCCCUCGACUGCGGUGAGUUUCACCGCGGCGAGUUCACCGCGGUGAACCUGUCGCGGUGAAACUCUUUGCGGUGAAACUCUUCGCGGUUAAACUCUCCGCGGUGAAUCUGAACCCACACCGUCUGCCCAGGGAGUCAAGGUGGCGUCGGAGAAGCUGGAGUCCUCCUUGUUGGACGACUCCCUCAAGAGGGACGACUCCCUCAAGAGGGACGAGCCCAGCGGAGUCGCCCGCCCUCCGGGGGAGUCGUUCUUCAUGCUGCCUGACGUCGCUCCAUCUCCGCAGGUGCGACCUGGUCGUCGAUGAUGACGACGCUGCUGCUGCUGCUACUACUACUGCAGCUGCUACUGCAGCUGCUGCUGCUGCAGCUGCUGCUGCUGCUGCAGCAACAGCCACCGGCGCUAUCGUCACUGCCAUCAUCACCAGGUGCUCAAGGAGAUGGGUGGCACUGGGCUGCUGUCUGCGCUGUCGGACCCCUCUCUGCCUUCAUCUCUGCUCACCAACGCCAGCCCCCCCGUUCAAGAGCCACGCGCCAGCGGAGGCAGCACCAGCGGUCGCACCAGCAGGGGUGGUGGUACCAGCGAUGGUGGUGGUGGUGAUGAUGAUGGUGGUGGUGGUGGUGCUUCUGGAGCUGGGUCACUCGGGGCUCAUGGCCGCCUGCUCGCCCGUGCCGCCCAUGUAACGUAGUCGCGGCGACGGCGGCGUCUCACACCUUGUUGUUGUUGUGUGUUGUUGUGUGUGUUGUUGUGUGUUGGUGUGUUGUUGUCCUUCCUCCGACGAGCGCAGUUUGGCUUGCUGCGUUACGGCGGUGCGAAAGCCGUUCCACGCGUACACACACCAACAACUACCUACACAACAACAACUACCUACGUACACACCAACAACUACCUACACAACAACAACUACCUACACAACAACAACAACAACAACUACGUACACACCAACAACUACGUAGACACACCAACAACAACUACGUACACACCAACAACAACUACGUACACACCAACAACAACUACGUACACACCAACAACUACGUACACAACAACAACUACGUACACACCAACAACUACAUACACAACAACAACUACGUACACAACAACAACAACAACUACGUACACAACAACAACUAUGUACACACCAACAACUACGUCAACAACAACAACAACAACUACGUACACAACAACAACUACGUACACAACAACAACUACGUACACACCAACAACUACGUACACAACAACAACUACGUACACACCAACAACUACGUACACACACCAACAACUACGUACACAACAACAACAACAACUA